GACGAACGCUGGCGGCGUGCUUAACACAUGCAAGUCGAACGGAAAGGCCCUGCUUUUGUGGGGUGCUCGAGUGGCGAACGGGUGAGUAACACGUGAGUAACCUGCCCUUGACUUUGGGAUAACUUCAGGAAACUGGGGCUAAUACCGGAUAGGAGCUCCUGCUGCAUGGUGGGGGUUGGAAAGUUUCGGCGGUUGGGGAUGGACUCGCGGCUUAUCAGCUUGUUGGUGGGGUAGUGGCUUACCAAGGCUUUGACGGGUAGCCGGCCUGAGAGGGUGACCGGCCACAUUGGGACUGAGAUACGGCACAGACUCCUACGGGAGGCAGCAGUGGGGAAUAUUGCACAAUGGGCGGAAGCCUGAUGAAGCAACGCCGCGUGCGGGAUGACGGCCUUCGGGUUGUAAACCGCUUUCGCCUGUGACGAAGCGUGAGUGACGGUAAUGGGUAAAGAAGCACCGGCUAACUACGUG
This 468-nucleotide ribosomal RNA is filed under the name uncultured bacterium. RNAcentral's name for it is "partial 16S ribosomal RNA". It matches the Rfam family "Bacterial small subunit ribosomal RNA", at positions 28 to 507 of the family's 1533-position model. The record is from RNAcentral.